CGUGUUUAAUGUCCAAAACAAAUUCUACUUCAAUACACAUCAAAAUCACUGUACUGUCCGAAUGACGCUUAAUUUUUAACUCAAUUAAUAUCAUUUAUGUGUUGUAACUGCUGGCAAGUUUAUAGUAAUUCCUGUCAGAAAGCUGAAUCAAAACUUGUCGUACUAGUCAACAUGAUUAGACCUGGCAUAAACAAUCUUCAAAAUUGAUCUUAUAUGUAGAUAUAGGUAUAUGUAAAUAUCUUCAUAACAUCAUAGUAGUCUAGAGUUUCCUUGCUGUUGUGGAA
Molecule: long non-coding RNA, 284 nt
Filed under: Mytilus galloprovincialis (Mediterranean mussel)
Lineage: Eukaryota; Metazoa; Mollusca; Bivalvia; Mytilida; Mytilidae
Source: RNAcentral